Long non-coding RNA from Phacochoerus africanus (Common warthog), 396 nucleotides. RefSeq lists it as uncharacterized. Lineage: Eukaryota; Metazoa; Chordata; Mammalia; Artiodactyla; Suidae. The transcript is spliced from 3 exons. The record is from RefSeq and is a predicted model, not a curated record.
CUUCGUCAAAUUGGUGAUAAGGACCAAAAGACCCAGAACCUUGAAGCCUUAUUACAGGAGAGUAAAGAAAAUACUUCUUUCCUAGAAAGGGAAAGAGAAGAUUUUAUGCAAAAAUUCAGGCUGGUGAAGGAGAGACCGCUGUUCUUAAUCAAUCGCAGGAAGAAAACCAUAUAUUACAGGAACAAGUAACUCAACUAAAGGCCCAGGAGAAUUUGCAUGACCAGGUGCAAGAGCAGAAGGCGCUUCUUAGAGCUGCACAAGACUGCGUCCUCUCCCUAGAAGCCAGCAUCAAUGAAUUAAAUAGUCAAUUAAGUGAAAGAAAGGAGAAGGUCUCCCAGCUUGACAUACAGAUUAAAGCCAAAACUGAAUUAUUACUAUCAGCAGAAGCAGCAAAAA